Zootermopsis nevadensis is the source of this 73-nucleotide non-coding RNA. Lineage: Eukaryota; Metazoa; Arthropoda; Insecta; Blattodea; Termopsidae. The record is from Rfam.
GCCACGGUGGUCUAGCGGUUAGAACGCUGGCCUUGUAAUCCUGGGGGCCCGGGGUCAAUUCCCGGUGGUGCUC